RNAcentral lists this ribosomal RNA (253 nucleotides) under uncultured bacterium. RNAcentral's name for it is "partial 16S ribosomal RNA". It matches the Rfam family "Bacterial small subunit ribosomal RNA", at positions 524 to 776 of the family's 1533-position model. The record is from RNAcentral.
UACGUAGGGGGCGAGCGUUGUCCGGAGUUACUGGGCGUAAAGGGCAUGCAGGCGGUCGGGCGCGUUUUGUGUGACAGCGGAUGGCUUACCUUUCCGAGCAUACGAAAGACGGUUGGACUUGAGGACUCGAGAGGGACACGGAAUUCCGGGUGGAGUGGUGAAAUGCGUAGAGAUCCGGAGGAACACCGAAGGCGAAGGCAGUGUCCUGGCGAGUGACUGACGCUGAGACGCGAAAGCGUGGGGAGCGAACAGG